This 1539-nucleotide ribosomal RNA is filed under the name Staphylococcus aureus. RNAcentral describes it as "16S ribosomal RNA". It matches the Rfam family "Bacterial small subunit ribosomal RNA". The record is from RNAcentral. Lineage: Bacteria; Bacillati; Bacillota; Bacilli; Caryophanales; Staphylococcaceae.
AGAGUUUGAUCCUGGCUCAGGAUGAACGCUGGCGGCGUGCCUAAUACAUGCAAGUCGAGCGAACGGACGAGAAGCUUGCUUCUCUGAUGUUAGCGGCGGACGGGUGAGUAACACGUGGAUAACCUACCUAUAAGACUGGGAUAACUUCGGGAAACCGGAGCUAAUACCGGAUAAUAUUUUGAACCGCAUGGUUCAAAAGUGAAAGACGGUCUUGCUGUCACUUAUAGAUGGAUCCGCGCUGCAUUAGCUAGUUGGUAAGGUAACGGCUUACCAAGGCAACGAUGCAUAGCCGACCUGAGAGGGUGAUCGGCCACACUGGAACUGAGACACGGUCCAGACUCCUACGGGAGGCAGCAGUAGGGAAUCUUCCGCAAUGGGCGAAAGCCUGACGGAGCAACGCCGCGUGAGUGAUGAAGGUCUUCGGAUCGUAAAACUCUGUUAUUAGGGAAGAACAUAUGUGUAAGUAACUGUGCACAUCUUGACGGUACCUAAUCAGAAAGCCACGGCUAACUACGUGCCAGCAGCCGCGGUAAUACGUAGGUGGCAAGCGUUAUCCGGAAUUAUUGGGCGUAAAGCGCGCGUAGGCGGUUUUUUAAGUCUGAUGUGAAAGCCCACGGCUCAACCGUGGAGGGUCAUUGGAAAAUGAAAACUUGAGUGCAGAAGAGGAAAGUGGAAUUCCAUGUGUAGCGGUGAAAUGCGCAGAGAUAUGGAGGAACACCAGUGGCGAAGGCGACUUUCUGGUCUGUAACUGACGCUGAUGUGCGAAAGCGUGGGGAUCAAACAGGAUUAGAUACCCUGGUAGUCCACGCCGUAAACGAUGAGUGCUAAGUGUUAGGGGGUUUCCGCCCCUUAGUGCUGCAGCUAACGCAUUAAGCACUCCGCCUGGGGAGUACGACCGCAAGGUUGAAACUCAAAGGAAUUGACGGGGACCCGCACAAGCGGUGGAGCAUGUGGUUUAAUUCGAAGCAACGCGAAGAACCUUACCAAAUCUUGACAUCCUUUGACAACUCUAGAGAUAGAGCCUUCCCCUUCGGGGGACAAAGUGACAGGUGGGGCAUGGUUGUCGUCAGCUCGUGUCGUGAGAUGUUGGGUUAAGUCCCGCAACGAGCGCAACCCUUAAGCUUAGUUGCCAUCAUUAAGUUGGGCACUCUAAGUUGACUGCCGGUGACAAACCGGAGGAAGGUGGGGAUGACGUCAAAUCAUCAUGCCCCUUAUGAUUUGGGCUACACACGUGCUACAAUGGACAAUACAAAGGGCAGCGAAACCGCGAGGUCAAGCAAAUCCCAUAAAGUUGUUCUCAGUUCGGAUUGUAGUCUGCAACUCGACUACAUGAAGCUGGAAUCGCUAGUAAUCGUAGAUCAGCAUGCUACGGUGAAUACGUUCCCGGGUCUUGUACACACCGCCCGUCACACCACGAGAGUUUGUAACACCCGAAGCCGGUGGAGUAACCUUUUAGGAGCUAGCCGUCGAAGGUGGGACAAAUGAUUGGGGUGAAGUCGUAACAAGGUAGCCGUAUCGGAAGGUGCGGCUGGAUCACCU